AAAAGGUGAGACAAACGUGUACGGCAGUGGCACAUGCACUUAUUCCCUUAAUCCGACAGAGUUUGAAGUCAUAUGGGAAAGGCAGCGAUUGUGAAAUCUGGAGGAUAUCUACACUGGGUGGUGAAGGUGACAGCAGAAAAUCAAAGAAAUCUUAGCACUAAGGCAACAGUGUAACAAAAAAUACAUGUCAGCUCUCCAUGGCCAUGCAGAUUAUCACUCAGAUAAGAGUGUGAUAGACGCCUGCUCAACUAACAGCCCAACAGUGGAAGUCUCCCAGCUAAAAGUGCAACAGGAACUGAAUGACUACAAAAGGAACCCACGGCAGAAGGAAUGAGCUAGCUGAGGCCCUCCACAACAGUGAUCACUCAAGAUGGGCCCA
Chroicocephalus ridibundus (black-headed gull) is the source of this 379-nucleotide long non-coding RNA. RefSeq lists it as uncharacterized. The transcript is spliced from 3 exons. The record is from RefSeq and is a predicted model, not a curated record. Lineage: Eukaryota; Metazoa; Chordata; Aves; Charadriiformes; Laridae.